Pipistrellus kuhlii (Kuhl's pipistrelle) is the source of this 638-nucleotide long non-coding RNA. RefSeq lists it as uncharacterized. Lineage: Eukaryota; Metazoa; Chordata; Mammalia; Chiroptera; Vespertilionidae. The transcript has 3 exons. The record is from RefSeq and is a predicted model, not a curated record.
CAGAUGUGGAAACUUGAACCCACACCUCCCGAUUUCAAAUUCAGUGCUCCUCAUAACUUACCUCUUCAACCAGAUGGGAAAACAGAGGUUUCCCAGAUUCCAGCCAGACUGGAUGCUGUGGUCAGCUGGAACAUGGACACCGUUUUUCAAUGUGAGCACCAAGACAGAGACUGGUGGUGCGGCUACAAGCCAAGGGAUGCGAGCGGCCACCUAGAGCUGGAAGAGGCAAAGAACCCGUGGCGCCUCCAGAGGGAGUAUGGCUCUGUCUGCAUCUUAACUGCAGCCCAGGGACAUUGACUGUGGACUUCCGAUUAAGAUAAAGUAUAAGUGAUAAGUGAGAUUAUAUAUCCAGUAAUGAAGUCUUCAACUUCAACUAUCAGCUACGAAUGUCUAGUUCCUGUAAAUGCAAUAGCAGAAGAUGAGCUAGAUAUGCUUGAAAAUGCUUAACUUAAAACGAAUGGCAAGAGUGUGGAACCCAGAGACACUGAAAAUGGGAAUGCAGACAAACUGCAACACCCUCUCAGAUCCCACCCAAGAAGCAACGAGUAAGCCUGAAAACUUGUCCAGCUGGGUUUUUUGGUUUUUUCACGGUAUGGUGUAGAGACUGAGAAGAGGGGGGCCGGGUUCCAUCGCUGGCU